AUAAAACAGGGAUUGUUUGUCCAUAUAUUGCAAUAUAUAUGGACAAGUGAUGCACGAAGGGCACCUAUAACAUCCAUUCUUGGCCGCCGUUAGCCACGUACUUGUUCCCCCACUCUGAUAACAAUGUGUAGGGUCAGUUUUUACCAGGAGAUCCCGUAGGUUUCGUCCCCUUUUAUAUGAAAUCCGUGGUUUGCAUCGAAAGAUAGGCGGUAAAGUUCUAUCUUUCUCUAAAACGGACCAAUGUGUAUGUAUGGCAUCUACCAGCGGUUUAUUAUCCGGGGUGAAGGUAGUUAUAAAGGUCAAUCGCCUCUCAGUCUCCUCAUCCACCGCAGUCACUUGAUAGUAGGACCUUCCUUUAACCAUCCACACACAGGGAAGAAAAUUGAGAUUAAGUAUAGGCUUACCUGUACAUCUAAAUUUUUGAUUUACUUUAUUAAAUGCCCCUGCGGACUGUUUUAUGUGGGGAAAACAAUCACUAAUUUACGAGACCGGAUGGCUAACCAUCGAAGCUCAAUACGACAGGCAUUAGAGACUGGCAAGGCUGAAACCCCUGUGGCAUCCCAUUUCUUGAAGUAUAAACAUACCCUGGCGAGUUUUCGAUGCAUGAUUAUUGAUCAUAUUCCAACACCGGCCAGAGGUGGUGAUCGUGAGAAACUACUACUGCAAGCCGAAUUGAGAUGGAUUCACAGGCUGAACACGAUCAGCCCGGGUGGACUCAAUGAGAUGGUGUCCUAUUCUCCUUUCUAUUAGGGGGUGUUCACAAUAUAUGAUUUGAGCUUAACUAUGAGGGGGUAAAGUGAUGUUCUAUGAUUGAGCGCAUAGUGGAUAUUGGAUUAUUUUUGAGCUAUUUGUCUGUAUUAACACAUUCCUUUACUUACUAGGUACAACGACAACUGCAGCAGAUGGUUUGCUAGGUGAUUCUAGUAAUAUAAGAAUUGACCUCUUCCGAUGGGGUUGGAUGGGGACACGUCAGUAUGGGUGAUUUUGGAAACGUUUGAUACGGUGAACAAUUAUAUACAUGAACUUGAUAGAUCCACUACCUAUGAGCGUUACAAGAUUUCUCGUCUGAUGACACGGCAAUAUGGGAGACGGGUUGUUUCUGCAGUUCGUGUAGAUAUCUACAGGAGCUCGCUGGAUACGUUGUGAGUGUCAGCUGAUGGAUUUACAACUCCACAUUGGACGGAGUUAACGCCCGUGCAGAUCCAGAGGAAUGAAUGAACUUGAUAUCCUAUUGCAUGAUAGCACGCGAUUGACGCACUAACAGUGCGCGCAAUGUCUCUGGGGGUAGCUCUGAUAAAGGGAGCACGGGGUUAGGUAAUCUGGCACUGGGUGAUCCGAUGAAUUUUGGUCCAACUGAGAUCGUGGGAUUGGAGUGGAUUUCUUUGCACACAGCGGCAUUAAGCAGGGUUGACACUGUAAUGGCUUGAUAUACGGUCACGGCGGUGAUGGCUACACAGGAGCGGUAAGCUUGUUUUUGAUCAGCCCUUUAAGCUGACCAGUAGUCUUUUAGGAUCUGUAUUCAACGGUGUUUUACUAACAGUAUAUAACAUGAUCCACGACAGGCAUUAUUUAUUACUAGUGGGCGGACACUUGGUCUUAUCACAACACUGUAUCGGAAGGGCACUAUUGGAGGCAUUGAUGUGUCUCUUACUUCGAUACUUUUUACCAUAUAGGGUUUACUUCAUUGACUAAAAUGAUACAUAUGUUACAAUUGUUUAUUGAAGUUUUACGGAGUCUUUUAGGUGGGGGAAGUAUUCUAUUAGUAUAAUUACAAGUAUACACGUCAGAGUUGGAGGGUUUGUGAUAUUUUCGCGCCAUGGGUGGGGUAUUUAUGGGCAAAUGUUUAAAUGUUUUGUUACUUUGACAAAGGCUGGUGUGGCAGCCGAAACGUUAGUGUGUCCUAAUAAAUUCAUUACUUUACUAUAA
Molecule: long non-coding RNA, 1926 nt
Organism: Xenopus laevis (African clawed frog)
Lineage: Eukaryota; Metazoa; Chordata; Amphibia; Anura; Pipidae
Exons: 2
Source: RefSeq, a predicted model, not a curated record